UUAAGUUCAGCGGGUAUCCCUACCUGAUCCGAGGUCAACCUGAUAAAAUUGGGGGUUGUUGGCAAGCAACCGACCGGACCCUAUAGCGAGGAGUAUUACUACGCUUAGAGCCAAUCGGCACCGCCACUGACUUUAGGGGCCGCUGGUGGGCGGGCCCCAAUACCAAGCUGAGCUUGAGUGGUAUAAUGACGCUCGAACAG
Molecule: unclassified non-coding RNA, 200 nt
Filed under: Helotiales sp.
Lineage: Eukaryota; Fungi; Ascomycota; Leotiomycetes; Helotiales
Description: partial internal transcribed spacer 2
Source: RNAcentral